AACGAACGCUGGCGGCAUGCCUAACACAUGCAAGUCGAACGAGACCUUCGGGUCUAGUGGCGCACGUGUGCGGGACACGUGGGAAUCUGCCCGUUGCUUCGGAAUAACAGAUAGUAAUGACUGCUAAUGCCGGAUGAUGUCGAAAGACCAAAGAUUUAUCGGCAAAGGAUGAGCCCGCGUAGGAUUAGGUAGUUGGUGGGGUAAAGGCCUACCAAGCCGGCGAUCCUUAGCUGGUCUGAGAGGAUGAUCAGCAACACUGGGACUGAGACACGGCCCAGACUCCUGCGGAAGGCAGCAGUGGGGAAUAAUGGACAAUGGGCGAAAGCCUGAGCCAGCAAUGGCGCGUGAGUGAUGAAGGCGUUAGGGUUGUAAAGCUCUUUUACCAGGGAUGAUAAUGACGGUACCUGGAGAAUAGGCUCGGGCUAACUCCGU
RNAcentral lists this ribosomal RNA (432 nucleotides) under uncultured bacterium. RNAcentral describes it as "partial 16S ribosomal RNA". It matches the Rfam family "Bacterial small subunit ribosomal RNA", at positions 29 to 506 of the family's 1533-position model. The record is from RNAcentral.